GGAGCGGGAGCAGGAGCCGAGUAAACUGGAGCUGGAGCUGGAGCAGGAGCAGAGUAAACUGGAGCGGGCGCAGGAGCGGGAAGGUCCUGGACGGGAGGUAAAUACUCGGGAGCUGGCGCAGGAGCAGAGUAAACUGGAGCUGGGGCAGGAGCAGAGUAUACCGGAGCUGGCGCAGGAGCAGAAUACACUGGGGCGGGAGCAGGGAUGUCUUGAACAGGAGGCAGAUACUCCGAAACGGGUGCUGGUGCGGGAGCAGAGUAGACUGGAGCUGGGGCUGGAGCGGAGUAAACAGGAGCAGGUGCAGGAGCGGAGUAAACGGGAGCUGGAGCCGGAGCUGGAAUGUCCUGGACGGGAGGCAAGUACUCAGGAGCUGGCGCAGGAGCAGAGUAAACUGGAGCUGGGGCAGGAGCAGAGUAAACUGGAGCUGGAGCAGGAGCAGAAUAAACAGGAGCUGGAGCUGGGAUGUCUUGAACAGGAGGCAGGUACUCCGAAACAGGUGCUGGUGCCGGAGCGGAGUAGACUGGGGCUGGGGCUGGAGCGGAGUAAACAGGAGCAGGCGCAGGAGCAGAGUACACAGGAGCUGGAGCCGGCGCAGAUAUCACCUCCUGAACGGGUGGCAGAUAAGCUGGAGCUGGAGCCGAGGGGAUGUUGAAGGUCGGCGUGGGCUUGUUGUAGCUAUAACCACUGCCCAGGUUAAGGUGGGAAACAUCGGCGGAGGCCAAGGCGAUGGCGCACACAGCGAAGACGAAGAGUUUCUAAAAUAAGCGGAAAUUUAAGGGUCAAGUGAGCGAUCGGGAUCCCCGACAUCUUGACGGUUGGCCAAGGCGAGCGGUUGAGCAAGGCCAACGGCUUUCUUGAUCGAAGUUGUGACCAGUGGACAGUUUACUCACCAUUGUUAUUGAUUUGUUGGUCGGGCUUUUAAAGUUCGUUGGAUUUGCUUUGGCAAGCUCUUGUCGCAAGACGCUCAAGCUGAAUGAUGUCGAACUGCAGAUGGGCCCGCACUUUUAUACCAAAAGCCAUGCUUAACUUGGUCUGGCCCAUUAUUAUUGCUGGAUAUCCGUCUUCGCGUCUUCGGUGUGGGCCUGGCGCUUCUUCUAGUCGAAGAAAAGGUAGACAGUUAAGAAGAGAGCGGAGCAGUGAUCAUUAACCCAGAGGCGGCUGUUGGGCGAUCAAAACGAAACAAAGAUAUAUUUAUUUUAUUUUUCCCUUUGAUCUUACGUAUUAACAUUAAGAAACGUUAAUUUUCAAGUUUUGAAUAUGGUUUAGGGAGAAUUAAAAAAAAAAAAACUAU
Molecule: non-coding RNA, 1291 nt
Organism: Drosophila melanogaster (fruit fly)
Lineage: Eukaryota; Metazoa; Arthropoda; Insecta; Diptera; Drosophilidae
Source: Ensembl